AGAGUUUGAUCCUGGCUCAGAACGAACGUUGGCGGCGUGGAUUAGGCAUGCAAGUCGAACGAAUCCCUGGGGGCUUGCUCCCAGGGGGAAGUGGCGAAAGGGGCAGUAAGGCGUGGGUAACCUACCCUGGGGACCAGGAUAGCCACCCUAACGGGUGGGUAAUACUGGGCGAUUUGACGAAGACGCAUGUUUUUGUCAGGAAAUGAAUUUCGCCUCGGGAGGGGCUCACGUGGUAUUAGCUAGUUGGUGAGGUAACGGCUCACCAAGGCCAAGAUGCCUAGCGGGUGUGAGAGCACGACCCGCGCCACUGGCACUGAGACACUGGCCAGACUCCUACGGGAGGCUGCAGUCGAGGAUCUUCGGCAAUGGGCGCAAGCCUGACCGAGCGACGCCGCGUGUGCGAUGAAGGCCUUCGGGCUGUAAAGCACUGUCGAGGGGGAGAAAAGCCCGCAAGGGUCUGAUCUAUCCCUGGAGGAAGCACGGGCUAAGUUCGUGCCAGCAGCCGCGGUAAGACGAACCGUGCGAACGUUGUUCGGAAUCACUGGGCUUAAAGGGCGCGUAGGCGGGCAAGCAAGUCCGGGGUGAAAUCUUUCGGCUUAACCGGAAAAGUGCCUUGGAUACUGCUUGUCUGGAGGGAGGUAGGGGCAUGUGGAACUUCCGGUGGAGCGGUGAAAUGCGUUGAUAUCGGAAGGAACGCCGGUGGCGAAAGCGACGUGCUGGACCUCUUCUGACGCUGAGGCGCGAAAGCUAGGGGAGCGAACGGGAUUAGAUACCCCGGUAGUCC
This 784-nucleotide ribosomal RNA is filed under the name uncultured bacterium. RNAcentral describes it as "bacterial SSU rRNA". It matches the Rfam family "Bacterial small subunit ribosomal RNA", at positions 8 to 796 of the family's 1533-position model. The record is from RNAcentral.